AAGUCUUCAUCUGCCCUGUUCUGACACAGAUCAGAGCACUCAAAUACUCUCCUCCUCCCCUUGGUUUGCAGGUGUGUGUGUGUGUGUGUGUGUGUGUGCAAACCUGGCCUCAGCAAAGCACCUGCUGCUUCUGCAAAUGGCUGAUUGCUUGAGUCAUUAACCCUUGUCAUUCCAGUCUCUCACACUGGCCCAUGGUUUGUUCUCUUCAUGCUUUCCCCAGGUCAGAUACUCCUUGCCUGGGCAGAAGCUGGACCUGACCCUGGAGACAUUCUGUUUGCUUGGCUAUCAGGGCAGUGUGAUAGCUUGGCAUCAUGGCUCUCAGCAGCUGCUGACAAAACCAGCUGUGACACAGCAGUUCUGCCCAUUACCAUGCCUUUAGCUAGGCAUCCAGCAUUUCCAGUGAUUUAUCUUCCUGCCUCUGCACGAUGUCCUGCUGUUACAAUGCUGCCUCCUGCUGUCACAGCGAAUGCACAGAAGCUGUUUCACCUCUCUGAGGAUAAUUACAGGAUUUCAGUCUCCAGAGCAACUAAUCAAUGUUCUUCUAGUUUUCUGGUAAACCCAAUUUCCCCUAACAAUAAAAAAACAAAAAAACCCAAAAAAAACGAAACAAAACAAAAAAAUAAUUGAAAAGUAUAAAAAGAACAAUCUCGUUUCAUGCAGUAGUUUCAGAACAUCUAUAUAUUAAGAACAACCAGUCUAAUAAUUCUGGAAGAGCUGAUAUUGAACAUAAUGGAUUGUUAUGGAAAACACUGUGGUUUUCUUAAUUGUUUAUCACUGCACUGUAUGUACACACAUGCUGAUAUAAAAUCCCAGACCAACAAUAUAUCUUCAUUGUUGUAUCUCUCUUAUUCUGAAAAAGUCCUAUCAUUAUCAAUUUUUUAAUGUAAUAUUCAAGUGCAAAUCCAAAUUUUUGUGUUAUAUCCCCUGCUACAAAAUUGGUUCACAUUUUUCCUAUAAAUAAUAUGAAAUUAAGAUAUGUUGAUUUACAUGUUUCCAUAUAAUCACAAGUUUAGUAUCUUCCACUAUGCUUAUUUACAUGAGUAGUACUGUAGUGCUUACGUUCCUGAAUGCUGGUGCUCAGUGUUGGCAGCACCAAAUAUUACCAGUGACU
RNAcentral lists this long non-coding RNA (1111 nucleotides) under Parus major (Great Tit). RNAcentral describes it as "lncRNA (ENSPMJG00000010916.1)". The record is from RNAcentral. Lineage: Eukaryota; Metazoa; Chordata; Aves; Passeriformes; Paridae.